Molecule: ribosomal RNA, 409 nt
Filed under: uncultured bacterium
Lineage: Bacteria
Description: bacterial SSU rRNA
Rfam family: Bacterial small subunit ribosomal RNA
Source: RNAcentral
GUGGCAGCCGCCGCGGUAAUACGGAGGGUGCAAGCGUUAUCCGGAUUCAUUGGGUUUAAAGGGUGCGCAGGCGGAUACUUAAGUCAGUGGUGAAAUCCCGGGGCUCAACCCCGGAACUGCCAUUGAUACUGAAUAUCUGGAAUACGGUUGAAGUGGGCGGAAUGUAGCAUGUAGCGGUGAAAUGCAUAGAGAUGCUACAGAACACCGAUCGCGAAGGCAGCUCACUAAGCCGAUAUUGACGCUCAGGCACGAAAGCGUGGGGAGCGAACAGGAUUAGAUACCCUGGUAGUCCACGCCGUAAACGAUGAUAACUCGUUGUUGGCGACACACAGUCAGCGACUAAGCGAAAGCGAUAAGUUAUCCACCUGGGGAGUACGAUCGCAAGGUUGAAACUUAAAUGAAUUGGCGG